RNAcentral lists this ribosomal RNA (404 nucleotides) under Actinomycetes bacterium. RNAcentral's name for it is "Actinobacteria bacterium partial 16S ribosomal RNA". It matches the Rfam family "Bacterial small subunit ribosomal RNA", at positions 355 to 776 of the family's 1533-position model. Lineage: Bacteria; Bacillati; Actinomycetota; Actinomycetes. The record is from RNAcentral.
UGGGGAAUAUUGGACAAUGGGCGCAAGCCUGAUCCAGCCAUGCCGCGUGAGUGAGGAAGGCCCUAGGGUUGUAAAGCUCUUUCACCGGUGAAGAUAAUGACGGUAACCGGAGAAGAAGCCCCGGCUAACUUCGUGCCAGCAGCCGCGGUAAUACGAAGGGGGCUAGCGUUGUUCGGAUUUACUGGGCGUAAAGCGCACGUAGGCGGACUUUUAAGUCAGGGGUGAAAUCCCGGGGCUCAACCCCGGAACUGCCUUUGAUACUGGAAGUCUUGAGUAUGGUAGAGGUGAGUGGAAUUCCGAGUGUAGAGGUGAAAUUCGUAGAUAUUCGUAGGAACACCAGUGGCGAAGGCGGCUCACUGGACCAUUACUGACGCUGAGGUGCGAAAGCGUGGGGAGCAAACAGG